GCUGGGCCUGGUGGCUCAUGCCUAUAAUCCCAGCUACUUGGGAGGCUGAGGCAGGAGGAUCACUUGUGCCCAGGAGUCUGAGGCUGCAGUGAGCCAUGAUUGCACCACUGCAUUCCAGCCUGGGUGACAGAGUGAGACUCUGUCUCUA
RNAcentral lists this small RNA (148 nucleotides) under Pongo abelii (Sumatran orangutan). RNAcentral describes it as "Metazoan signal recognition particle RNA (ENSPPYG00000039390.1)". It matches the Rfam family "Metazoan signal recognition particle RNA". From Rfam's summary of the family: The signal recognition particle (SRP) is a universally conserved ribonucleoprotein. It is involved in the co-translational targeting of proteins to membranes. The record is from Rfam by way of RNAcentral. Lineage: Eukaryota; Metazoa; Chordata; Mammalia; Primates; Hominidae.